Molecule: ribosomal RNA, 254 nt
Filed under: uncultured bacterium
Lineage: Bacteria
Description: partial 16S ribosomal RNA
Rfam family: Bacterial small subunit ribosomal RNA
Source: RNAcentral
UACGGGGGGAGCAAGCGUUGUUCGGAUUUACUGGGCGUAAAGGGCGCGUAGGCGGCCACCGCAAGUCGGUUGUUAAAUCUCUGGGCUUAACCCAGAAAGGUCAACCGAUACUGCGGGGCUAGAGUGCAGAAGGGGCAACUGGAAUUCUCGGUGUAGCGGUGAAAUGCGUAGAUAUCGAGAGGAACACCUGCGGCGAAGGCGGGUUGCUGGGCUGACACUGACGCUGAAGCGCGAAAGCUAGGGGAGCGAACGGG